RNAcentral lists this RNase P RNA (333 nucleotides) under Gammaproteobacteria bacterium. Its description in RNAcentral is "RNase P RNA component class A". It matches the Rfam family "Bacterial RNase P class A". Rfam says of the family: Ribonuclease P (RNase P) is a ubiquitous endoribonuclease, found in archaea, bacteria and eukarya as well as chloroplasts and mitochondria. Its best characterised activity is the generation of mature 5'-ends of tRNAs by cleaving the 5'-leader elements of precursor-tRNAs. Cellular RNase Ps are ribonucleoproteins. Lineage: Bacteria; Pseudomonadati; Pseudomonadota; Gammaproteobacteria. The record is from RNAcentral.
GAAGUCGGCCAGACAGCCGCCCCGCAAGGGGAGGAAAGUCCGGGCUCCAUAGGGCAAGGCGCCAGGUAACACCUGGGGGGCGUGAGCCUACGGAAAGUGCCACAGAAAAUAUACCGCCCCUUCGGGGGUAAGGGUGAAAUGGUGCGGUAAGAGCGCACCGCGCUGGUGGUAACAUCAGUGGCAGGGUAAACCCCGCCGGGAGCAAGACCAAAUAGGGGAACAUAUGGCGCGGCCCGCGUUGUUCCCGGGUAGGUUGCUUGAGGUGCAUGGCGACGUGCAUCCCAGAUGAAUGGCUGUUCAAGACAGAACCCGGCUUAUCGGCCGACUUCAAUU